Molecule: ribosomal RNA, 493 nt
Filed under: uncultured Coriobacteriaceae bacterium
Lineage: Bacteria; Bacillati; Actinomycetota; Coriobacteriia; Coriobacteriales; Coriobacteriaceae
Description: partial 16S ribosomal RNA
Source: RNAcentral
CACGUAGUUAGCCGGAGCUUCUUCUGCAGGUACCGUCGUUAUCUUCCCUGCUGAAAGCGGUUUACAACCCGAAGGCCCUCGUCCCGCACGCGGCGUUGCUGCGUCAGGCUUUCGCCCAUUGCGCAAAAUUCCCCACUGCUGCCUCCCGUAGGAGUCUGGGCCGUAUCUCAGUCCCAAUGUGGCCGGUCGACCUCUCAGUCCGGCUACCCAUCGCGGGCUAGGUGGGCCGUUACCCCGCUACUACCUAAUGGGCCGCGACCCCAUCCCGCGCCGUCGGGGCUUUCCCGGCCGCCCCCAUGCGGGGGCGCCCCGGAGGUAUCCGGUACUUAGUCCGACUCGUUUCCUAACUGGGUUAUUCCCGGAGCGCGGGGCGAGGUUGGGUCACGUGUUACUCACCCGUUCGCACUCUAUACACGGCCGAAGCCGUCUUAAUCGUUCGACUUGCAUGUGUUAAGCACGCGCCAGCGUUCAUCCUGAGCCAGGAUCAAACUCU